AUGGAUCUUUAUGCCAAUUCAUCCACAAUAAAUCUGGCUUGUCUUCCUGUAAUAAGAAGCAUGAACUUAGAAGGUGACGAUAUGAGAAACUACCAAAUGUUCAGAAGCCAUCCAGGCCUGCUUUGGAUGUCUUUUGGGACAAGAGAGCAUAUGAGGCUAUAUUCAGGCUGCAAACAGCACCAAAGAUGUCAGCUAUAUGGCUGUUCUACAUAACUCCAAAAGACCAUGAAUUACUUCAAAAUAUGCCUGAUCUGAUUUUUUCUGAAGUACUGGGCAGCUGUGCAAACAAUACUAAAAUAGAAAAAAUAUUUUGUGCCAUGCAUUGCCUUGAUUGUAUGUGCCCUUAAAAUAGAAAACAUAGACUCUUUCUAAAAAAAUACAAUUAUAUCAAGACCUGCUUUUUAAAUAUCUAAAAGGUAUUAUUACCUUUUGUGUAUGUGUUCAUUAAGUAUUAUCUUCUCUGAGACAGAUUGGGCCAACAAUAAAAAGAAAGGUAUUAUCAUUUUCCUAUUUACUUUUUAAUUUUAAGGUUGACUUGAUUGAAAAUAAAAUUAUUAUUGUAGGUUUGGCUGUUAGGUUGUUUAUUUAUCAUUAUUAUUUUUAUUUCAUAGUGCUUUUUAUUCUUUGGAAGUCUAAUUUUUAAAAAUAAUUUCUACUUUGAAAUAAUUUAAUUGUACACAAAAGUUACAAAAAAAGUUCAAACCAUUCUCUCACCCAGAUGACCAAUUGUUAGCAUUUGAUUACGUUCAAAAACUCCAUAUAUAAAACUUAAAUUUUAAUCAAUGGUUUCAAUAAUUUCUCUUUUUCCAUUCUGGCUAGGAUCAUAAUUAUGUGAAUGCACAUAAAAGGAGAAUGCUUGAGGGACUCUGCAGUCCAUAAUAUAUGGCCAAACUGAUCAGCAUGGGCUUCUUUAUUGUAGUUUAAUUGGUUUCUCCAAUGAUUUGCAAUCUUUGCUAAGUGGCUUUGGAGAAAUCUAAGCUAAUUAAUUUGCCUGAGAUGAAUGCUGCCAGUGGUUCUAUAACCAUGUUGCUACCACUUGAGUAAACAUAACCUCAGUGUUCUAUCAGUGGGAUGACUACUGUUAUUCAAUUUCUGAUUUAUAUUCUGCAAUAACCUUUGUGCCAUUUUACUAGACUCCCCUGCCAGAUCUGUAAGGCCAGAUUUCUUUUGGACCAACUAUUGUGCAACAUUGUCAACCAGCAAUUACUAGUGGGUCAUCAUGGCUCUGCCCCACACUGAGUUUUAAUAGAUUGGAUUUUUUCAGUGCAGCAGACAGUGAGAAGCAGACAGAGUAAUAUAAUGCCCUCCGUAUUAAAAUUCAUUAACCUUGAGAAAGCACUUAGUAUCAUCAGUAGAUAAAAAUGCUGUUAACCACUAAGCCUUAAAUAUUCAUCAAGAUACAAAGACUUAUUUCUAUAUAAAUUUGUGAUGUUCAUAUUAUGGAGUUAGUGUACUGAAUGUUGAUGAUUAAAAUAUCUUUAGCAAAUCUUUGAGGGGUAGGUAAAUAGAGCAUUAAUAUUUAGUGUUUAUUAAUGUUAAUUUUUCAGGAGGUU
Molecule: long non-coding RNA, 1553 nt
Organism: Callithrix jacchus (white-tufted-ear marmoset)
Lineage: Eukaryota; Metazoa; Chordata; Mammalia; Primates; Cebidae
Source: Ensembl